UCCCUGGUGGUCCAGUGGUUAAGACUCUGAGCUCCCAAUCCAGGGGGCUUGGGUUCGAUCCCUGGUCAAAGAA
RNAcentral lists this transfer RNA (73 nucleotides) under Bos taurus (domestic cattle). It matches the Rfam family "tRNA". Rfam says of the family: Transfer RNA (tRNA) molecules are approximately 80 nucleotides in length. Their secondary structure includes four short double-helical elements and three loops (D, anti-codon, and T loops). RNAcentral also lists the same sequence under 3 other names. Lineage: Eukaryota; Metazoa; Chordata; Mammalia; Artiodactyla; Bovidae. The record is from Rfam by way of RNAcentral.